GAUGAAGAACGUAGCGAAAUGCGAUAAGUAAUGUGAAUUGCAGAAUUCAGUGAAUCAUCGAAUCUUUGAACGCACAUUGCGCCCCCUGGUAUUCCGGGGGGCAUGCCUGUCCGAGCGUCAUUACAACCCUCAAGCUCAGCUUGGUGUUGGGCCCCGCCGCCCCGGCGGGCCCUAAAGUCAGUGGCGGUGCCGUCCGGCUCCGAGCGUAGUAAUUCUUCUCGCUCUGGAGGCCCGGUCGUGUGCUCGCCAGCAACCCCCAAUUUUUUUCAGGUUGACCUCGGAUCAGGUAGGGAUACCCGCUGAACUUAAGCAUAUCAUAAGCGGAGGA
This 328-nucleotide unclassified non-coding RNA is filed under the name soil metagenome. Its description in RNAcentral is "partial contains 5.8S ribosomal RNA, internal transcribed spacer 2, and large subunit ribosomal RNA". The stretch from base 1 to 120 matches the Rfam family "5.8S ribosomal RNA", at positions 35 to 154 of the family's 154-position model. The record is from RNAcentral.